RNAcentral lists this unclassified non-coding RNA (263 nucleotides) under Arabidopsis thaliana (thale cress). Lineage: Eukaryota; Viridiplantae; Streptophyta; Magnoliopsida; Brassicales; Brassicaceae. The record is from RNAcentral.
UGCAAGCCUAUCUGUUCGUUUAGGGUUUUAUUUUCUUAGAGUAAGGUCAAAAUGUGAGUUGGGUCAAUCAAAAACCACAUUCUCGCGAUUGGUUUUUUGGCCGGAGUUGGCUAUCAAAACCUAGCCGAGCGAUUUGGCGUGUGAGCUCCGAGUCUAAGGUGUGAGUCCGCUUUGGAAGGGAUCAUGAACCAACCUGGUUCACUGAAUAUGCCGAUAUUAUCAUGUGUCAUGCGUUAACAUGCGAGUUUAGUAAUUGAGUCGAA